Molecule: ribosomal RNA, 578 nt
Filed under: uncultured prokaryote
Description: bacterial SSU rRNA
Rfam family: Bacterial small subunit ribosomal RNA
Source: RNAcentral
GAUGAACGCUGACAGAAUGCUUAACACAUGCAAGUCGAUUCGAUUUACCUUCGGGUAUUGAGGAUGGCGGACGGGUGAGUAACGCGUAAGGAACUUGCCUCUUGGUCUGGGACAACUGUUGGAAACGACAGCUAAUACCGGAUAUUAUGAGAUUCUCGCAUGGGAAACUUAUGAAAGCUAUAUGCGCCAAGAGAGAGCCUUGCGUUCCAUUAGCUAGUUGGUGGGGUAACGGCCCACCAAGGCGACGAUGGAUAGCCGGCCUGAGAGGGUGAACGGCCACAAGGGGACUGAGACACGGCCCUUACUCCUACGGGAGGCAGCAGUGGGGAAUAUUGGACAAUGGGCCACAAGCCUGAUCCAGCAAUUCUGUGUGCACGAUGAAGGUCUUCGGAUUGUAAAGUGCUUUCAGUUGGGAAGAAGAAAGUGACGGUACCAACAGAAGAAGCGACGGCUAAAUACGUGCCAGCAGCCGCGGUAAUACGUAUGUCGCAAGCGUUAUCCGGAUUUAUUGGGCGUAAAGCGCGUCUAGGCGGAAAAAUAANUCUGAUGUUAAAAUGCGGGGCUCAACUCCGUAUUGC